This 151-nucleotide small nuclear RNA is filed under the name Arabidopsis thaliana (thale cress). Its description in RNAcentral is "U4 spliceosomal RNA". It matches the Rfam family "U4 spliceosomal RNA". From Rfam's summary of the family: U4 small nuclear RNA (U4 snRNA) is a component of the major U2-dependent spliceosome. The structure of U4 snRNA from yeast and human has been reported. Lineage: Eukaryota; Viridiplantae; Streptophyta; Magnoliopsida; Brassicales; Brassicaceae. The record is from Rfam by way of RNAcentral. RNAcentral also lists the same sequence under 2 other names.
AUCUUUGCGCUUGGGGCAAUGACGCAGCUAAUGAGGUACUAACCGAGGCGCGUCUAUUGCUGGUUGAAAACUAUUUCCAAACCCCCUCCUGGGCCUAAGCUUGUCUUGGGCCUUCGAGAAUUUCUGGAAGGGCUCCCUUUGGGGUAAAGCC